GUCAGCAGCCGCGGUAACACCGGCAGCUCUAGUGGUAACAAUUUUAUUGGGCCUAAAGCGUCCGUAGCCGGUUUAAUAAGUCUCUGGUGAAAUCCUGCAGCUUAACUGUGGGAAUUGCUGGAGAUACUAUUAGACUUGAGACCGGGAGAGGUUAGAGGUACUCCCAGGGUAGAGGUGAAAUUCUGUAAUCCUGGGAGGACCGCCUGUUGCGAAGGCGUCUAACUGGAACGGUUCUGACGGUGAGGGACGAAAGUUAGGGGCGCGAACCGGAUUAGAUACCCGGGUAGUCCUAACUGUAACGAUGCGGACUUGGUGUUGGGUGGCUUUGAGCUGCUUCAGUGCCGAAGGGAAGCUGUUAAGUCCGCCGCCUGGGAAGUACGGUCGCAAGACUGAACUUAAGGAAUUGGCGGGGGAGCACCACAACGCGUGGAGCCUGCGGUUUAAUUGGAUUCAACGCCGGACAUCUCACCAGAGGCGACAGCUGUAUGAUAGCCAGGUUGAUGACUUUGCUUGACUAGCUGAGGGGAGGUGCAUGG
RNAcentral lists this ribosomal RNA (536 nucleotides) under uncultured archaeon. RNAcentral describes it as "bacterial SSU rRNA". It matches the Rfam family "Archaeal small subunit ribosomal RNA", at positions 457 to 997 of the family's 1478-position model. The record is from RNAcentral.